RNAcentral lists this ribosomal RNA (999 nucleotides) under uncultured bacterium. RNAcentral describes it as "bacterial SSU rRNA". It matches the Rfam family "Bacterial small subunit ribosomal RNA", at positions 509 to 1504 of the family's 1533-position model. The record is from RNAcentral.
CAGCAGCCGCGGUAAUACGAAGGGUGCAAGCGAUGUUCGGAUUUAUUGGGCGUAAAGGGCGCGUAGGCGGAAUUUUAAGCCAGGUGUGAAAUCUCGGGGCCUAACCCCGAAACAGCGCCUGGAACUGGAAUUCUAGAAUAUCGGAGGGGGUUGGGGAAUUUCGCAUGUAGGGGUAAAAUCCGUAGAGAUGCGAAGGAAGAUUUGUGGCGAAGGCGCCAACCUGGACGAUUAUUGACGCUGAGGCGCGAAGGCGUGGGUAGCAAACAGGAUUAGAUACCCUGGUAGUCCACGCGGUAAACGAUGAGCACUAGAUGUAGAGGACGGUUUGACGUUUUCUGCGUCGCAGCUAACGCAUUAAGUGCUCCGCCUGGGAAGUACGGUCGCAAGAUUAAAACUCAAAGGAAUUGACGGGGGCCCGCACAAGCGGUGGAUUAUGUGGUUUAAUUCGAAGCAACGCGAAGAACCUUACCUGGGCUUGAAAUCCUGUGAAGGAAGUAGAGAUAUUUUUGUGUCCGCAAGGAAACACAGUGACAGGCGCUGCAUGGCUGUCGUCAGCUCGUGUUGUGAAAUGUUGGGUUAAGUCUCGCAACGAGCGCAACCCCUAUCCUUUGUUGCCAGCAUUAAGUUGGGCACUCUGAGGAGACUGCCUGGGUUAACCAGGAGGAAGGUGGGGAUGACGUCAAGUCCUCAUGGCCCUUAUGUCCAGGGCUACACACGUAAUACAAUGGUCAGUACAGAGGGAAGCGAACCAGCGAUGGGGAGCCAAUCUCAAAAAGCUGAUCUCAGUUCGGAUUGAAGUCUGCAAUUCGACUUCAUGAAGUUGGAAUCGCUAGUAAUCGCGGAUCAGAACGCCGCGGUGAAUACGUUCCCGGGCCUUGUACACACCGCCCGUCACACCAUGGGAGUUGGUCUCAUCUUAAGCCGUGACCCUAACAGCAAUGAGGGGAGCGUCUACGGUGGGGCUGAUGACUGGGGUGAAGUCGUAACAAGGUACCCGUA